This 99-nucleotide transfer RNA is filed under the name Colletotrichum lupini. Its description in RNAcentral is "tRNA-Leu". It matches the Rfam family "tRNA". From Rfam's summary of the family: Transfer RNA (tRNA) molecules are approximately 80 nucleotides in length. RNAcentral also lists the same sequence under 1 other name. Lineage: Eukaryota; Fungi; Ascomycota; Sordariomycetes; Glomerellales; Glomerellaceae. The record is from RNAcentral.
GGAAGGGUGGCCGAGUUGGUUAUGGCGCCAGGUUAAGGUCAGCUUAACAUCUGUCUCCUGGUGGGGCAACCCGCGCGAGUUCGAGUCUCGUCCCUUUCA